AGCGCGGAUCGGCAGAGCGCGUACGCGGACGAGGUUCCAAAUCCGUCCAGUGUGCGUUCGAGUCGCACCGGGGGCACCA
Molecule: transfer RNA, 79 nt
Filed under: Actinosynnema mirum DSM 43827
Lineage: Bacteria; Bacillati; Actinomycetota; Actinomycetes; Pseudonocardiales; Pseudonocardiaceae
Description: tRNA-Und (NNN) (tRNA-Und-NNN-2-1)
Source: RNAcentral